RNAcentral lists this ribosomal RNA (493 nucleotides) under uncultured bacterium. Its description in RNAcentral is "bacterial SSU rRNA". It matches the Rfam family "Bacterial small subunit ribosomal RNA", at positions 28 to 524 of the family's 1533-position model. The record is from RNAcentral.
GAUGAACGCUGGCGGCGUGCUUAACACAUGCAAGUCGAACGGAGAAAGGGUAGCUUGCUAUCUUUUCUUAGUGGCGGACGGGUGAGUAACGCGUGGGUAACCUGCCCUUUGCAGGGGGAUAACAGUGAGAAAUCACUGCUAAUACCGCAUACCAACUUCUUUCGCAUGAAGGAAGUUUGAAAGAUUUAUCGGCAAAGGAUGGACCCGCGUUGGAUUAGCUAGUUGGUGAGAUAACAGCCCACCAAGGCAACGAUCCAUAGCCGGCCUGAGAGGGUGAACGGCCACACUGGGACUGAGACACGGCCCAGACUCCUACGGGAGGCAGCAGUGGGGAAUAUUGCACAAUGGGCGAAAGCCUGAUGCAGCGACGCCGCGUGAAGGAUGAAGGUCUUCGGAUUGUAAACUUCUAUCAGCAGGGAAGAAAGGGCCUAUGGCCUAUGACGGUACCUGACUAAGAAGCCCCGGCUAACUACGUGCCAGCAGCCGCGGUAAU